Molecule: ribosomal RNA, 472 nt
Filed under: uncultured bacterium
Lineage: Bacteria
Description: partial 16S ribosomal RNA
Rfam family: Bacterial small subunit ribosomal RNA
Source: RNAcentral
GACGAACGCUGGCGGCGUGCUUAACACAUGCAAGUCGAACGAUGAACCCGGAGCUUGCUCUGGGGGAUUAGUGGCGAACGGGUGAGUAACACGUGAGUAACCUGCCCUGGACUCUGGGAUAAGCGUUGGAAACGACGUCUAAUACCGGAUAGGACCUUGGAUCGCAUGAUCUGGGGUGGAAAGUUUUUUCGGUCUGGGAUGGACUCGCGGCCUAUCAGCUUGUUGGUGAGGUAAUGGCUCACCAAGGCGUCGACGGGUAGCCGGCCUGAGAGGGUGACCGGCCACACUGGGACUGAGACACGGCCCAGACUCCUACGGGAGGCAGCAGUGGGGAAUAUUGCACAAUGGGCGAAAGUCUGAUGCAGCAACGCCGCGUGCGGGAUGACGGCCUUCGGGUUGUAAACCGCUUUUAGUAGGGAAGAAGGGCUUCGGCUUGACGGUACCUGCAGAAAAAGGACCGGCUAACUACGUG